This 187-nucleotide non-coding RNA is filed under the name Deltaproteobacteria bacterium. RNAcentral describes it as "6S RNA". It matches the Rfam family "6S / SsrS RNA". Rfam says of the family: E. coli 6S RNA was the first non coding RNA to be sequenced, but its function was unknown until recently. It consists of 184 nucleotides that fold into an extended hairpin structure with a large single-stranded internal bulge. The record is from RNAcentral. Lineage: Bacteria; Pseudomonadati; Myxococcota; Myxococcia.
GGAGCCCUGCGGGAUUCCCAGGGGGUGACAAUAUGGUUGAAUCCCUGGCGUAGAAACCCGGGAACCGUCUCUGUCCGUGGUGUGCCAGCCCGGAGAUUUCCGGGACGCCUGAAACGGUUAUAACGGUGCCCACCUGUAGAGGCAAGGGUUUCGCCCGUCGCCCUCUGCCGAUUCCUUCGGGGCUUCC